GAUGAACGCUGGCGGCGUGCCUAAUACAUGCAAGUCGAGCGAACAGACGAGGAGCUUGCUCCUCUGACGUUAGCGGCGGACGGGUGAGUAACACGUGGAUAACCUACCUAUAAGACUGGGAUAACUUCGGGAAACCGGAGCUAAUACCGGAUAAUAUAUUGAACCGCAUGGUUCAAUAGUGAAAGACGGUUUUGCUGUCACUUAUAGAUGGAUCCGCGCCGCAUUAGCUAGUUGGUAAGGUAACGGCUUACCAAGGCAACGAUGCGUAGACGACCUGAGAGGGUGAUCGGCCACACUGGAAGUGGGACACGGUCCAGACUCCUACGGGAGGCAGCAGUAGGGAAUCUUCCGCAAUGGGCGAAAGCCUGACGGAGCAACGCCGCGUGAGUUAUGAAGGUCUUCGGAUCGUAAAACUCUGUUAUUAGGGAAGAACAAAUGUGUAAGUAACUUUGCACGUCUUGACGGUACCUAAUCAGAAAGCCACGGCUAACUACGUG
This 497-nucleotide ribosomal RNA is filed under the name uncultured bacterium. RNAcentral describes it as "partial 16S ribosomal RNA". It matches the Rfam family "Bacterial small subunit ribosomal RNA", at positions 28 to 507 of the family's 1533-position model. The record is from RNAcentral.